ACCUAGUCAGCAGGGCCUGGUGGCCAU
Molecule: non-coding RNA, 27 nt
Filed under: Homo sapiens (human)
Lineage: Eukaryota; Metazoa; Chordata; Mammalia; Primates; Hominidae
Source: RNAcentral